UACGGAGGGUGCAAGCGUUAUCCGGAAUCACUGGGCUUAAAGCGUGUGUAGGCGGAUGUCUAAGUACCUUGUGAAAUCCCACGGCUCAACCGUGGAACUGCUUGGUAUACUGGAUGUCUUGAGCCAUCUAGGGGCUACCGGAACAAAUGGUGGAGCGGUGAAAUGCGUAGAUAUCAUUUGGAACGCCAAUGGUGAAAACAGGUAGCUGGGGAUGUGCUGACGCUGAGACACGAAAGCCAGGGGAGCGAACGGG
RNAcentral lists this ribosomal RNA (253 nucleotides) under uncultured bacterium. RNAcentral's name for it is "partial 16S ribosomal RNA". It matches the Rfam family "Bacterial small subunit ribosomal RNA", at positions 524 to 776 of the family's 1533-position model. The record is from RNAcentral.